ACCUGGCUGGCUCAGUCGGUGAAGCAUGUGCCUCUUGAUCUCAGGGUGGUGGGUUCGAGCCCCAUGUUGGGUG
This 73-nucleotide transfer RNA is filed under the name Ailuropoda melanoleuca (giant panda). It matches the Rfam family "tRNA". From Rfam's summary of the family: Transfer RNA (tRNA) molecules are approximately 80 nucleotides in length. Their secondary structure includes four short double-helical elements and three loops (D, anti-codon, and T loops). Further hydrogen bonds mediate the characteristic L-shaped molecular structure. tRNAs have two regions of fundamental functional importance: the anti-codon, which is responsible for specific mRNA codon recognition, and the 3' end, to which the tRNAs corresponding amino acid is attached (by aminoacyl-tRNA synthetases). tRNAs cope with the degeneracy of the genetic code in two manners: having more than one tRNA (with a specific anti-codon) for a particular amino acid; and 'wobble' base-pairing, i.e. permitting non-standard base-pairing at the 3rd anti-codon position. The record is from Rfam by way of RNAcentral. Lineage: Eukaryota; Metazoa; Chordata; Mammalia; Carnivora; Ursidae.